RNAcentral lists this ribosomal RNA (120 nucleotides) under Triticum monococcum (einkorn wheat). Lineage: Eukaryota; Viridiplantae; Streptophyta; Magnoliopsida; Poales; Poaceae. The record is from RNAcentral.
GGAUGCGAUCAUACCAGCACUAAAGCACCGGAUCCCAUCAGAACUCCGAAGGUAAGCGUGCUUGGGCGAGAGUAGUACUAGGAUGGGUGACCUCCUGGGAAGUCCUCGUGUUGCAUUCCC